Molecule: long non-coding RNA, 264 nt
Filed under: Elaeis guineensis (African oil palm)
Lineage: Eukaryota; Viridiplantae; Streptophyta; Magnoliopsida; Arecales; Arecaceae
Description: long non-coding RNA (EGUI_LNC058838)
Source: RNAcentral
CCACCUCGAGGGCCAUUUCCUUAAGGCGGGCAGCCUCGGCCUGCUGACCUUCCACCGCCUUGUUUGUCGUCUCGAUGUUGGUGAGGAGUUGGUGCCCAAGCUGCAAGGGCGACCGGAGAGUCAGAAUGGGAGCUGGAAAGUUAAUUAAAUGAAGAAGCGAAAAGAAAAAGGAGAACGAAUCUACUUACCUCGAGGAAGGCCCCCAGCGAGUCCCAGACUCAUUGUGUAGGAUCGACGCGGACGAUCCUCUGGAUGACUUCGGGC